RNAcentral lists this long non-coding RNA (1009 nucleotides) under Capra hircus (goat). RNAcentral's name for it is "lncRNA (ENSCHIG00010006932.1)". The record is from RNAcentral. Lineage: Eukaryota; Metazoa; Chordata; Mammalia; Artiodactyla; Bovidae.
GUGAAUGACCCUCACUGAAGAUCAGGUGAAGAGUGAGUUUCCUUCUGAGUUUCAGAGACGCAUUCUCUAGAGGGAGGGAAUUGAGUGGAUCAAGCAAGAUCUCAAAACUGGGGCUGGAGAGAAAGGUAAGGGAGACAUCUUGGUAUGGCUUCACCUAGGAUUGCUUCCUCUCCUCCUGGGGAGCCCUGUGACCCUUUCUUCUCCCCGUUCCUGUAGGAGAUCCAGCAGCUGCUUCCAGCAGUCUAGGUCUUCUGCCUAUGUUGAGUCCUUCCGGAAGUUCAUCCUUCUAUCCCUUAACUCUUCUGUCAUUCUUCCACUAGGCAGCUAAGGUGUGGUCCUGUCCUCUUGGUCACUCAGAGACUCGUCUCCAGACUAACGGCUAAUGGAUUAUGCUUCAGGGAAAGUGCUUGGCUUGGUCCCCUACAUGUUGUCGCUUACCUGCUUGUAUGACUCCUGUUAACUGUGGACAAAGAAUGCCACUUGCCAUAUCAGUCAACAAAGGUUGUUGGCCCAUCAAGCCCCCAGUCACUACAGCUGCCACACGUACUCCCACCCCCAAAGGUGAGCCCUGAAGGAACUCAGGGUGGACAUAGAAUCAUCAAGCAAGGUAUCAACCACUGCAGCAGCCCUCAAAGCUGCACCCUGAGGGAAACCAGGAUGGGAAAAACAGGAUACAUGCCUUAGAUAGAUAGGGUGCAUAUCAAAGGAAUGAUUUCAGAGUCCUGACUCUUGCAUCUUCCCUUACAAAUAAAAGCACUAAAUUCAUUAACUUGAUGUCUGGUUUUCUUUAAUGAAUAGUGAUCUUUUGAUGUUCUGAUUAUCUGGUUUCGGUUGCAAAACCCCUGUAUGUCCUGGCUCCUCCCCUCCCUCUUCUGAGCAGUCCCUCAGAGCUGUCUGAGAAGCUGCCUCCUGGGCUUGAAGGCCUCAAAGUUUACCAAAUAAUACAUAAGUCUCAACUUUGGGGCUGAAGAUUUUUUGCAUUUUUUCUCCAAUCAAUAUAAUCAUAACC